CUCCUCUGAGCGCACGCGUACUCAAAUAGCAGCGCUCCGACGGAGACGCAGUGCGCCUGCGCAAGAGCCGGUGCGUAUUUGCCUGUACCUACGCGCGAUGCCAGUACUUCUGGUCAGUUUCCAGGAGCGGCAAGUGAGGAAUAUGAAAUAACCUUAUGGCUGAAUCAGGGUGAAGGGGAAGCUUGUAAGCAUGGAAGACGCUCUACUCAAACUAAAAAGUUCAAGUUCUGAUCCAGCAGAUGAAGAGGGAGGCCUGAGAGGCUGCUGUUCUAACUCGCUCCCAGCUUUGUUGGAUGUAAUUGACUGAACAUGAACUGCUCAUAUUUAAACCAUGCCUGGCCGAAAUUGCAUGUUUUGACAUACAGAGACGGGGCCUUACUCUGCUGCCUAGGC
Molecule: long non-coding RNA, 393 nt
Filed under: Homo sapiens (human)
Lineage: Eukaryota; Metazoa; Chordata; Mammalia; Primates; Hominidae
Description: HSALNT0396113
Source: RNAcentral